RNAcentral lists this ribosomal RNA (538 nucleotides) under uncultured bacterium. RNAcentral's name for it is "bacterial SSU rRNA". It matches the Rfam family "Bacterial small subunit ribosomal RNA", at positions 30 to 605 of the family's 1533-position model. The record is from RNAcentral.
CAGACGCUGGCGGCAGGCCUACACAUGCAAGUCGAACGUGAAGCCACCUUCGGGUGGUGGAAAGUGGCAGACGGGUGAGUAACGCGUGGGAACGUGCCUUUCGGUUCGGGAUAACCCAGGGAAACUUGGGCUAAUACCGGAUACGCCCUUCGGGGGAAAGAUUCAUUGCCGAAAGAUCGGCCCGCGUCGGAUUAGCUAGUUGGUGGGGUAAAAGCCUACCAAGGCGACGAUCCGUAGCUGGUCUGAGAGGAUGACCAGCCACACUGGGACUGAGACACGGCCCAGACUCCUACGGGAGGCAGCAGUGGGGAAUAUUGGACAAUGGGCGCAAGCCUGAUCCAGCCAUGCCGCGUGGGUGAAGAAGGCCUUAGGGUUGUAAACCCCUUUCAGCGGGGAAGAUAAUGACGGUACCCGCAGAAGAAGUCCCGGCUAACUCCGUGCCAGCAGCCGCGGUAAUACGGAGGGGACUAGCGUUGUUCGGAAUUACUGGGCGUAAAGCGCACGUAGGCGGAUUUGUAAGUCAGGGGUGAAUCCCGAG